RNAcentral lists this small nuclear RNA (92 nucleotides) under Naja naja (Indian cobra). Its description in RNAcentral is "U2 spliceosomal RNA (ENSNNAG00000019152.1)". It matches the Rfam family "U2 spliceosomal RNA". From Rfam's summary of the family: U2 is a small nuclear RNA (snRNA) component of the spliceosome (involved in pre-mRNA splicing). Complementary binding between U2 snRNA (in an area lying towards the 5' end but 3' to hairpin I) and the branchpoint sequence (BPS) of the intron results the bulging out of an unpaired adenosine, on the BPS, which initiates a nucleophilic attack at the intronic 5' splice site, thus starting the first of two transesterification reactions that mediate splicing. Lineage: Eukaryota; Metazoa; Chordata; Lepidosauria; Squamata; Elapidae. The record is from RNAcentral.
UCUUCUGUCUCGGCCUUUUGGCUAAGAUCAAGUGUAGUAUCUUCUGUCUAUAAUUUUUAUUAAACAAGAAGAUAAAAAAAAUAGGAACCAGU